RNAcentral lists this ribosomal RNA (468 nucleotides) under uncultured bacterium. RNAcentral's name for it is "partial 16S ribosomal RNA". It matches the Rfam family "Bacterial small subunit ribosomal RNA", at positions 28 to 507 of the family's 1533-position model. The record is from RNAcentral.
GACGAACGCUGGCGGCGUGGUUAACACAUGCAAGUCGAACGGAAAGGCCCUGCUUUUGUGGGGUGCUCGAGUGGCGAACGGGUGAGUAACACGUGAGUAACCUGCCCUUGACUUUGGGAUAACUUCAGGAAACUGGGGCUAAUACCGGAUAGGAGCUCCUGCUGCAUGGUGGGGGUUGGAAAGUUUCGGCGGUUGGGGAUGGACUCGCGGCUUAUCAGCUUGUUGGGGGGGUAGUGGCUUACCAAGGCUUUGACGGGUAGCCGGCCUGAGAGGGUGACCGGCCACAUUGGGACUGAGAUACGGCCCAGACUCCUACGGGAGGCAGCAGUGGGGAAUAUUGCACAAUGGGCGGAAGCCUGAUGCAACAACGCCGCGUGCGGGAUGACGGCCUUCGGGUUGUAAACCGCUUUCGCCUGUGACGAAGCGUGAGUGACGGUAAUGGGUAAAGAAGCACCGGCUAACUACGUG